Molecule: non-coding RNA, 74 nt
Filed under: unclassified sequences
Description: DUF3800-VIII RNA
Rfam family: DUF3800-VIII RNA
About the family: Bacteroidetes, Cyanobacteria, Firmicutes, Planctomycetes (1 example), Proteobacteria, Tenericutes (1 example). Nearby to DUF3800
Source: Rfam by way of RNAcentral
AAGGCCCUUCUCUUCGCGAAUCCUCAGGCUCUGCCUGGGGAACGGCUUCACAGCCAUAGCGGGAGCGGGGUCUU